GCCGACUUAGCUCAGUUGGUAGAGCAGCUCAUUCGUAAUGAGCAGGUCAUCGGUUCAAGUCCGAUAGUCGGCU
Molecule: transfer RNA, 73 nt
Filed under: Melioribacteraceae bacterium
Lineage: Bacteria; Pseudomonadati; Ignavibacteriota; Ignavibacteria; Ignavibacteriales; Melioribacteraceae
Description: tRNA-Thr
Rfam family: tRNA
About the family: Transfer RNA (tRNA) molecules are approximately 80 nucleotides in length. Their secondary structure includes four short double-helical elements and three loops (D, anti-codon, and T loops).
Source: RNAcentral